Molecule: unclassified non-coding RNA, 188 nt
Filed under: uncultured Ceratobasidium
Lineage: Eukaryota; Fungi; Basidiomycota; Agaricomycetes; Cantharellales; Ceratobasidiaceae
Description: sequence contains ITS1
Source: RNAcentral
UUGAAUGAACUUAGAGUCGGUUGUCGCUGGCUGUCUUUUGCAGCAUGUGCACGCCUUCUCUUUUCAUCCACACACACCCCUGUGCACUUGUGAGACUGGAGGCCGUAAAAAAAGCCUUCAGUCUGCUAAAUUCAUAUACAAACUCAUUUAAUUGAACUGAAUGUACUUGAUGUAACGCAUCAUUGAAC